UAGGGAAUCUUCCGCAAUGGGCGAAAGCCUGACGGAGCAACGCCGCGUGAGUGAUGAAGGUCUUCGGAUCGUAAAACUCUGUUAUGAGGGAAGAACAAAUGUGUAAGUAACUAUGCACGUCUUGACGGUACCUAAUCAGAAAGCCACGGCUAACUACGUGCCAGCAGCCGCGGUAAUACGUAGGUGGCAAGCGUUAUCCGGAAUUAUUGGGCGUAAAGCGCGCGUAGGCGGUUUUUUAAGUCUGAUGUGAAAGCCCACGGCUCAACCGUAGAGGGUCAUUGGAAACUGGAAAACUUGAGUGCAGAAGAGGAAAGUGGAAUUCCAUGUGUAGCGGUGAAAUGCGCAGAGAUAUGGAGGAACACCAGUGGCGAAGGCGACUUUCUGGUCUGUAACUGACGCUGAUGUGCGCAAGCGUGGGGAUCAAACAGG
RNAcentral lists this ribosomal RNA (429 nucleotides) under Actinomycetes bacterium. RNAcentral describes it as "Actinobacteria bacterium partial 16S ribosomal RNA". It matches the Rfam family "Bacterial small subunit ribosomal RNA", at positions 355 to 776 of the family's 1533-position model. Lineage: Bacteria; Bacillati; Actinomycetota; Actinomycetes. The record is from RNAcentral.